Molecule: non-coding RNA, 1690 nt
Organism: Lactuca sativa (garden lettuce)
Lineage: Eukaryota; Viridiplantae; Streptophyta; Magnoliopsida; Asterales; Asteraceae
Source: RefSeq, a predicted model, not a curated record
GCUCACCGCCUCUCCCAGGAGCUUCUACAUCCACUUUCUUCCUUUCCCAGACUGAUUCUCAAUGCUUUUAUCGGGUCUCUCUCUCUCUCACACACUCUCUCUCUCUAGCUUUGUUACCGGUGCAGAAGAACCCGACAGAGCAUCAUAUGUGAUUCAAUCGGCGUUGAGGUUGCUUCUGGCUCCUUUUUUUAGAUGACGACCGAUGCUUUCCUUCGUUGUCGGCACCCAUAAGGAAUUUUGAACAUUCAAAACCUUCACGACGAAGAACAAUCGAAAUCAUCUCCAGUUCACUCGCUUAGAUACGUGUCUACCUUCUGUAUUCCAAAGCGAUACGUGUCCGAUGCUUCGUUUUUCCACCGACACUCUAUCCAUUUUUUCUUAUCUGCUCUGUAUUCCAAGGUUGGAGAGUCCUUCGACUUCUCUGGAAGAGAGUCCUUCGUUUUUCAAUUUACUGGCUCCGCCCGAUUCCUCCUGUUGGUGAAGAACGCCUCCGAAAUAAUUAAAGCAUCGCUCUAUCUUCCUCACCGCCAUCUGUGGUCAAAGGCUUGAAAUUUUGGAGGUACUUCACAGUGGAAAAAAGCUCACGACUUGCUUUUUGGAGGUCUCAAACAUAUAUUUCUUCCACCACUCCCAUUGAUUUUGCUCCAGGUGUGACCCUUCUUCUCUUAUUCUGUGUGUUGUCAAUAGGUCAAUAUUCCCUUCCAGUUGUUAAUGCCAAUUGAUUAGUCGAAGACCAAAGCCAAGUGUUAACUUCGCCAUCUACAACUUAUUCAAGUUAACUGAGUAAUGGAAAUUCAACCUGCACUUUCCAGUAGAAAGCUUCUCAGCUAAAGUAUCUGCAACUCGAUUGGCAUAUUUUGGUGGAGACUAUUUGCGUGGUGUUGUUGGGUUAUAAUCUAUCACUAGGAAUACUUUUGAAGAUCUGCUACUCAUAAAUAGGUAGGGAAGGUGAAAGCAAUGGCAGAUCUGCAUCAAAGGAGAGCAUCUGCAUCAAAGGAGAGCAGAAAUGGCAAAUUAUUCUUAUCCUUUUAUUGCUUUAUCAGGUUAGUAUAAGACCUGCAAUAUGUUUCUUUCAUAUUCUUCACUAAAAUCUCAGAAGCACCAUUUACCUCAUUAAAUAAAAGAGAUGGCAGGUGCAUUUUACUUAUUUGUCUUAUUAACGUUUUCUUCUAUUUUAUCUCUCCAAUGCUUCUUCUUUCAACCACUCAAUCUCUAUGGAGGCUCGACACAAUCAUUUAGGUCAUCGGUACUUCUUCCCCACUUCGUCGCUUCGAAAGAAAUGGGAGAGAGUGAGAUCGGUACAACAGCCCCAAGGGGUAGGUGUGCUUGGGUCGUUUCUUUGAGUUGACAGAGGUGUUUGGAUUGUUGUUCAAAUCAAUAGGGACAGUGGAGGAAAAAGAAAGAGGCUGGGCAGGUUCAUGAAUGGGGUCUUCUGGGUUAUCCAGCAAGUAUACAUGUAUUUCCGAGGCAGUUGGCAGGCUGUUGAGUUAUGUCACACCCCCGAACCAGACGGCGGAAACGUCCGAGGGCUGUUGUGACUCAAUUGAAUACCAUUACAUUAAAUAUACAUGAAACAUAACAUCAUUCAUCACCAUGCAUUGAGAUAGUAUAACUGGUAGAGUUUACAUUUAGUACAUUGUUUUAAACAUUACAUCCCCAAAAAUAAAUUGUUCGAUAAUAGUUAAACAAA